Molecule: long non-coding RNA, 4881 nt
Organism: Felis catus (domestic cat)
Lineage: Eukaryota; Metazoa; Chordata; Mammalia; Carnivora; Felidae
Exons: 2
Source: RefSeq, a predicted model, not a curated record
CUGUGCAGCCGGAGGACGCGGCAGGGGCCCGCAGGGCGCUGGGACUCCUCUGUUCCGACGCUCCCGCCGCCGCUGCGGGUCUGGCCUCAGGGGUCCCUCUGCCCUGCGCUCUGUCUGCGACCCUCCCCACCUUCACGACUUUCGGAGCCGGGAGCAUACGAAAGGCGGUGCGGUCAGGACACGCGCUGCCGGUGACAGCACAGAAACUACCAGAAACGAAGGCACGCAUCCGCCAGGGACCGGGCUGGAUGGGCUGCAUCCCGCCAGCACGUCAGACGAGGGGCUCAGCCCAGGGCGGAGGCCCACGGGGGCCCCGCGAGACGCUGCUCACACGGUAACCGUCCCGAAGGCCCAGACCUAACAUUUCCAGAGGCAGCGACGCGAACGGGGACACCCCGCGGCCCCAAAAGAGCGGCCUCGCUUCCCGUUCUCCGAACCCCGGAGGGUGAGUGGCGUUGGCACGCAGAUGGGAGCAGGCUCUACUUCCCCGACGCAGUGGACCCGGGUCUCCCCUCAGGGUGUUCCGGGUGCGUCCCCGGAGCCGGGGAGGCCCGGGUGCCCCGCGCGGCCUGCCGGCGGAGCCCACGAGAGGCCGCUCCUCCCGCAAGCCGGCUGCCCCUGACCGAGGACACCGAGCGGGUAGGCCCGGGGGGGAGAAGGCGGGCGCCUUCGCGGGCGCGAACCCGGACACUGGAGCCUCCCCAGGACGGCGGCUCCGGAGGAGGGCGCGAUCCUGCCUGGGAGGCCGCCCGAACGUCCCCCGGUUCCAGCACCAGGACGGCGGAUCCGACGCCGUGCGCCCUCCAGCCCCGGCCUGGGGGGCGGCCCCGAAGGCGGCGAGGGUCGGGGACUCCGGCUCCGGCACACACGGCCCCGGAAGGAGAGCUGCCCUCCCACUGGGAUCCGGUAGGGGAAAGUCCCGGAAGUCAACGUGGCACCGUCCGUUGUACGGGAACUAGAGCCCGCGGGCUCGGCAAAAACGACCUGUGUGCCGCACGGCGCCACGCCUGAUGCUCAGGGGUCACACACACACACCUCCAGAAGCGAGGCCCGGCGGCGCCGGAAGCGAGGCCCAACAUCACCAGAAGAGACGCCAGGCGCCACCGGAAGCGAGGCCGCGGCCACAGGAAGCGAGGCCCAGAAUCCCCAGAAGCGAGGCCCGCGAUCCCCGGAAGGGAGGCCCGGCGCCACCGCCCUCCAUGAGCGCAAGAAACAAGGUAAAGGAAGCAGCUCAUGCUGGUGACCUUCUCCUGAAGCAGGGGCUACGGCUGACACGUGAUCCCUGGGCAGGGGCCGGGGGCUUCCCACCGGGACCCUCAACCAACGCUCCCGUCCGAGUGAAAAGAAACUUCUGAAAACAGGACUUCUAAAGACUUCUGUACAAGAAGGGAACUUGCCUGUGGUCCGGACUCUUUGGGGUCACUUAGCUGUAUUUAACCUGAAUUAAAGCCUGGGCUUUCCUGCCUGGGACACAUGAGUCUCUUGGGAGUUUGAGUAGCUUGAACCGUACGAGUACAAAUGCCUGCCUUUAGAUGAGUCAUCUCUGGAGAGAGUGGCAACCCCGAGCUGCUGGAAAGGGUCCCGGACUGUGGUCGCCCUGCAGGGCACUCCCAGACCCCGGGCUCCGUCCACACCAUCACAUUCACAGUCCCGCUUCAAAGCCCCGGGACGAGCGCCCUGCACUACGGGCCCACCUGGUCAACGAUGUCCCGGAAAGCAGGCGACGGCGGACCCAGCCAGCUGCGCACCGUGGCGGGCAUCGUGAAUACUGGCCUCUCCCGGAGGCUGAUUAUGAGCACAUUACCCCUGAUGUCCAUCCCUGCACCUGUAAAAUGGGGCAACAGAACCGACCCGACAGUGUUGUUGGAAGAAUGAAAGGAGACAAGAAGCGUGAAUCACUUGGUUCCAUGCACCUGCCGCUGAAUUCUUUCAUCUUCACUGUAAACUCAGGAGGAUUUUGAAGCUACCGCUCACGGACACAUCUUCAGGACGAGUCAGGAGGGGCAAGCACGUGCGGGGUAACCACCGUGAGGGGCACAUCCUCGGGGAUGCAGGGAAAAGGACCGUGGCCUCUCACACAGACGAGAAACACACGACAAGCAUCAGUUCGCUCCGGGGCGUUUUUUCCCAAAUGGUAGACCGUCGAGAUUCAGGGUGAAGUAUGGGGAGUGAGAAGGAGAGACGAGCGGUGCAUUCAAUGAAUGGGACAAAGGAAGAGGAACAGGGCUCCUCCUAGAAGCCAGGCCCACAAUCACCGGAAGCGAGGCCCCGCACCACCGGAAGGAGCAAAAACGCUCCAGGUGCCAAGUGCCAGUGGGGGCUCAGCGGGCGCCCCGACCUCGCGGUGAGCCGCAGACUCGGGACCAAACCACAGAGAGAAGCCGCGGUGCCUCCGUGUUCCGUUGUCCCCACUCACUCUGCAUCCAGCAGCCAAUGUAGCCAACACCACCAGUGUCCCGUGCAGCCUCACACGAGCCCCAGGCUCCCCACCGCUUAGCUCAAGAGAGACCGUAUCCACAUUUGCACACACCAGGGAGGGAAGAGACAGCAGGGCCGCAGUGACGGUCAGAUGGCAGACCUCUCUGGCUCUGCCGCCCAAUCUCCACUAUGCUUGGUUCCAGAAACCCCUCGUGAGAGCCUUGGGUGCCUAUGCUGUGCCCAGAUGGGCCAUUCUCAGCCAGGGCAGUGCCAUCAGGCCCCUCGGUGCUGGCUGGUAGGCAGGGCGGCUUGGACAGGAGACCACAGGACAAAAUUCAGGUUCUUGGACAAAACUUGGGUGUCCGGAGUCCUGAUUCUCUCACGCAAGCUGACACCCAGCAGAUGGACCCGCCCCCCAGCCUGAUCUCCAUCUAAAUCCUCAGACAAGCCCCUCAGAUGUCCAGAUGGCCUCCAGCCAAAUUUAGCUAUGCCACUUGACAUCAGCAACACCAAAUGUCCCCGGCUGAGCCUGCCUCUAAAGGACCAGAUGUUGUCGACGCCACUGACGGUGUGGGUGUCAGUGCGUCUGGCCCCCUCCCACGGCCAGAGUCUACGACCGGUGUCCCAGAACUCCGAAUGGAAGUGUUUCUCAACCAAGCAGGUUGCAAGGCGUCACCCCGAUGGGCCUCUUGAAGGUGUCUUUGCAGGAAAAAUGCUCCCCACGGUCAGGAAAGGUCCUGAGACCAUCUCGACCCAAUGACAUUCAGUUAACUAGAAGUAAUGUGCUGUGGCCAGGAAUUGACUGUCCCCUAAAAGAAUGCAAAGAGGGUUGCCAGUGACAGGCCACCCCGCAAAGCUAACCAGACCUACAGCCUUUAUUUUAAAAGGGAAGUGAGGACACCUGGCACCAGAAGCCCCUCAUUUCCAAGACCGCUCCGGGAAAAUAAUCUGUGGAUAGUGUUGGGGUCGUUGGGGGCGGGGGGCUCCGGGCCCCAACUCAAACCUCGGCAGAAGUGGCUACAGCAACAAAUCAGCGGCCAGCGGCAUGUGGAUGGUCAGAGACGAUUACGCCCCACAAUCGGUCCGCAUUCUGCUCAGCCAGGCUUAAGGGACUUUUGAGGAAGGCUCUUAUUUGAGUGGUGGUCUCAAGCCUCGUCACCACCGAGCACCCCCAACGUGAGUGGAAGCCUCUCCAUCGUCCCCAGGUUCCUCCUCGCUCACAGAUGGGGGCGGGAGGCUGUGCAAUUCCAACCCACUGCUCCCCUUCCACAGCAACCAAAAACGUCACUUCUUUUUAUCGGCAAGGUCAUAGAGGGCGCAGCACCAGAUGAUACCGGGUCUGGGCAGAACGUAGGUCUUGUCCCCGGCCCCCCAGAGCCCUCUCUGGAAGUAACCACCACUGCCAGCUUCUGGAGAACACUACCAACAAAAUGUGUAAACGGGAUUUACUACUGGAACCAUUAGCCUCCCGUGCCAUGUGUUUGGGGGUGGGGGGAGGGUCGUUUGUUUUCUUGGAGAUCUUUCCACACGAAUGUAUGCAGAAUGGCUUCAUAUUUUUAACACAUCCAGAGAGCAUUCCAGAAAAUACAUAUACCGUGAAUUAUUUACUUGGUCCCUUCUUUGUGGAUUUUUUAGAUUGUCUGAAUCCUUUGCUAUUAAAAACAGUGUGAUGAAUAUCCACAUACACUAUUUCACACAUGUUUAAAUGCACGUAUGUGAUAAUUCCUGUCUGUGGACAAGCUAGGUCAAAGAUUAGGCAGACUUGUAAUUUUAUUAGACAUUACCAAAUCGCUGCCACGGACACCAGUUACCCUAUGACUAGCAACACACGAGGCCUCCUGUUUCCCUGUAUUCUUGGCAAACCAUUGUGUUACCAAAGUUUUGGUCUUUGUGUAUGUGACAGGUGGGGAAAAUUCAGGAUGACUUUCAUCAUUUCUCCGGUUACCAGUGAGGGUGGGUAUCUUCUAAAAUGCCUAAGAUCCAUUUGUAUUUCCUUAUCUAUAAACUAUUCAUGUGCAUUUUUCUUUGGGGCUGUUAAAUACUUUCUAGUUUAUUUGUAGGUGAUCUUCACAUUCUAAGAAAAUUAGCCUUGUGUCUACGAUACAAAUUAUACAUAUUUUCCCUGACUUGUCCUUUGUCUUUUGAUUUUGUUGUGUCAUAUUUGUCAUUAAAAACCGUUUGAUUUCAAUGUAGUUGAAUUACUUAAUCUAUGUUUUAUGCCUUGUGGGUUUGGUUUUAUACCUAGAAAGACCUUCCCCAUCCCAAGAUUCAGGGGGAGAAACACUAAUUUUAGGUCGAACAUUUUUAUAUAGUUUUGUGUUAAUUUUUGAUGCAAGUGGUAUUUAUUUUUAAUGAAGGUAUGAGAUAAGGGUUCUAUUUUAAAAAAGAGUAUUACCCAGUGUUCCAGUGUCCUGUUUCGGGCAGUCCAUCUUUGUCAAUUAAUAAAUUGCAAUGUACAUGUGA